RNAcentral lists this transfer RNA (72 nucleotides) under Thermoplasmata archaeon. RNAcentral's name for it is "tRNA-Ala". It matches the Rfam family "tRNA". From Rfam's summary of the family: Transfer RNA (tRNA) molecules are approximately 80 nucleotides in length. Their secondary structure includes four short double-helical elements and three loops (D, anti-codon, and T loops). The record is from RNAcentral. Lineage: Archaea; Methanobacteriati; Thermoplasmatota; Thermoplasmata.
GGGCCCAUAGAUCAGUGGAAGAUCGUUGCCUUCGCAAGGCAAAGGCCGCGGGUUCGAAUCCCGCUGGGUCCA